This 393-nucleotide ribosomal RNA is filed under the name uncultured bacterium. RNAcentral describes it as "partial 16S ribosomal RNA". It matches the Rfam family "Bacterial small subunit ribosomal RNA", at positions 523 to 918 of the family's 1533-position model. The record is from RNAcentral.
AUACGUAGGGGGCGAGCGUUGUCCGGAAUGACUGGGCGUAAAGGGCGUGUAGGCGGCGGUGUAAGUCUGGAGUGAAAGUCCCGCAUUCAAUGUGGGAAUUGCUUUGGAUACUGCAGUGCUAGAGUGCGGAAGAGGUAAGUGGAAUUCCCAGUGUAGCGGUGAAAUGCGUAGAUAUUACUCAGAACACCGAUUGCGAAGGCAUCUCACGAAUCCGUCAUUGACGCUGAGGCACGAAAGCGUGGGGAUCAAACAGGAUUAGAUACCCUGGUAGUCCACGCAGUAAACGAUGAUGACUAACCGUCGGCGAUACACAGUCGGUGGCCAAGCGAAAGCGAUAAGUCAUCCACCUGGGGAGUACGUUCGCAAGAAUGAAACUCAAAGGAAUUGGCGGGG